Molecule: long non-coding RNA, 1135 nt
Organism: Ailuropoda melanoleuca (giant panda)
Lineage: Eukaryota; Metazoa; Chordata; Mammalia; Carnivora; Ursidae
Exons: 4
Source: RefSeq, a predicted model, not a curated record
AUUCGCCACCUGAGUAAGCUCGGGACUCACGCAGCCCGGGCAGCGAGUGCAAAGAUGGAAACCAGGUCAUGAGCUUGGCAAGUGGGGCUGGAGGAGUGGCCGACAGAAAGGCGGGGGGAGGGGGGUUCCUCUGAGGCUCCGGGGUGGAAAGCGGACGUUCUGCUUUGCAAGCCGGCUCGUUUCAAGCAACAGUCGUGCGGCCAGACUUUCCAUCACUCAGAAACUGACGGGCUGGGAGUCCCGGGCGGUGCCCUAGUCGGUGAGAUCUUUGGCAUCCCGGGCAUCUGUUUGCUAUUUAGUGGGUGCUCGAGGGAGAGUUCCCCGGCCUGCGAGCCGAGCUCCGAGUCUGCACGCACGCGCUCGCGUGCAUUGGGAAAGGACUUGGAAGUACUCAGGAGGCGCUGAGGAAGAGGAGAGAGCGGUUCAAGAUUCACUUGCUGGUCGAAGACUUAAUUUGAGCGUAUCCCAUCUUUAGACUUUCAGAAGGAAGAGAAUUUUUCCAUCUCGGCCAGAGAAAGGCCUUCGCUUUUCUGCGUUGAACUGUAGGUCCCAUCCAAUGAGGAAACCCUUCCACCUGAGUUCAGAGGCAGAGUAAACCGAGGUGAUUCUCCUGGGCAAUGCGAGCUGCCCUGAUCCUUCAGCUGAAAUUAAUCACGUUAAAAAUAAACCUCCGGAACAGGACCGGGAGGAAGAAGGAGACUUGACGCCCGGCUCACGCAGAUGUCUGUGUUUUAAUCUGUGGACCAGCCUCCUGAUUACAGUGAAUCGUGCAAAGCUACUCGUGGUACCAAUUGACGUUCUUAACAGCUGUGUGCGAGAGUUCCCGCUGUUCAGUGACUUGACAAAUUCGCAGUAUCAUCAGUCUGGUGCGGUGAUCCUGAAAAUUAUCAUUCAGAUCUCCAGCUGGACUGAGCGGAAUUGACGGCUUUCGCGGCUGCAUGUCUUGCACACAGUCUGGCGUGGGGACGAUAAGUGUGGAAAACCAUCACUGAGAAGAAAAGGAGGGGAAGAAAAACACAUGAAGGAGAAAACAUCUGCUAAAAAACAUACAUUAAAACUUAUGCUCAUUUCUUGGUUUUUCUUCCAGCUAUCCAUUUAAUUACAUAAAAUCAAAUAAACGUGCUUUUCAAUACAA